CCUGCCCCUAGAAGCACUGCAGCUAUGACUGUUCUGUCAUGUGUGUGGCAGAGAGGAGAGAGGCUAUGUCUACGUUCAGUGUUCUGACCUGAAUGUAGGGGUUGUAGGUGAGCCAGUCCCA
RNAcentral lists this small nucleolar RNA (121 nucleotides) under Mus pahari (shrew mouse). RNAcentral's name for it is "predicted gene, 26184 (MGP_PahariEiJ_G0034326.1)". It matches the Rfam family "Small nucleolar RNA SNORA17". From Rfam's summary of the family: snoRNA ACA 17 belongs to the H/ACA family of snoRNAs and is predicted to guide pseudouridylation of the 28S rRNA at positions U4659 and U4598. It shares the same host gene together with ACA43. The record is from RNAcentral. Lineage: Eukaryota; Metazoa; Chordata; Mammalia; Rodentia; Muridae.